CAGUGAAAAGCCAAAAUAGAGGCAUUUAACUGUUAAUUAAAAAAUUGUAAUUUAUUACUUCGCUGG
Molecule: transfer RNA, 66 nt
Filed under: Sepiolinae sp. GS-2021
Lineage: Eukaryota; Metazoa; Mollusca; Cephalopoda; Sepiida; Sepiolidae
Description: tRNA-Asn
Source: RNAcentral